RNAcentral lists this long non-coding RNA (3103 nucleotides) under Nicotiana tabacum (common tobacco). RNAcentral's name for it is "long non-coding RNA (NTAB_LNC004313)". The record is from RNAcentral. Lineage: Eukaryota; Viridiplantae; Streptophyta; Magnoliopsida; Solanales; Solanaceae.
UAACAUACAAAUUUCAUCGAAAAUUACGAUGAGAUCCACUUUCACAUUCUCCUCCUAAAUCUCCUCCAUAAUCGACAAUCUCCUCCAGGCUCCUCCGGGCUCCUCCAUAAUCGACAAUCUCGUCCAUUCCGACGAUCGAAAAUCUCCUCCAGUCUCAACAACUCCUCCAUAAUUGGCCGCACCGGAGGCGGCAUGCUAAUCCUUUAGAGUUUUUUCAAAUCUGAAUCGGUAAAUAUAUUCUUAUUGCAAAAGUUUCUUAACUCGUGCGGGUGUUGAUUUUGGGCCUCAUUCAUGAAUUAAUCAAUUGGGUAUAUCAAUCUUGAAAGUGGGUCUCAUCAAGUUGAGUAUAAGCUCAUGGUUGAAGGCUUAAUGUUUAGCAGCUUUUUAAUUUGUUUUUGUUUAAAUUUCUGGAUUGGUUGCUCGUGGGUUGUUUUUUUGUGCUAUUGUUUAAAUUUUUGUGUUUCUGUAAGCUUCCUUAAUGUGGGAUUUUAGUUUUGUAUUUGUUUGAUGGUUAAUUUUGUGUGUGUGUUUUGAAGUACAGACACUCCUAAAGCUUAAAGUCCAGAUGCAAAGAAGGCAUUGAAGAAACAAAGAAAAAGAUAGAUACAUAAAAUCCAAUUCUGUGAGAAAAAAGGUGUGUUCUAUCUUUAUGUAAAAAGUGAAAAAAGUCACGAAUAAUUUCAAUAAUCUUGGGUUUGCAGAUUAAUUAUGCUUCUAAUUGGUUAAAGUUAAUGUGAUUCUUCUAAUUUAAUUAAAUAUCUUGCUUUUGAAACUGUACUAUGUUAUAUGGAAUCAUAGAAUUAGCACUUAGACCAGAUUGAUAAAUGUUAAAAUAUUGUCAGAUGCUGUCAAUUCUUGCUCUGCUUCUGUUGCUAUACUUAUUCUAGUUGUUAUCCCAUUUGAUAUAUAAGAGCGUAAAAGAGAGAGCAUUUUAAGCCAAUAGCUGCCCGGUCGAGUGCAGAGAAUCAGUAUCCAAAACUUUGAGUUUCUCUGGCUAUUAGCAGUACAAGUUUUUUAUGCACUAGAAAGAAGGGAUUUUGUACUGCAUUAAGUACAGUAUAUCAUAUAUGUAAAAGAAAAGAGUUCAUUUUUUGUGUUUCUUUCUUAUUGUUAUUGGAUUUUGUUGCAAUCAUCAUACUGAUGAUUCAUUUUGUAGCUGAUCAUAUUUUUAUUUAUUAAAUAGUAGAAUUUGAUAAGGUGGUCUGUAGAUAUUAUAUCAAGGUGUAUUUAUAUAUAUACAGAGCCUUUUCCAAUUUGACUAGUGAUAGAGUCUGCGUUUAUGAAUUGGUGUAAGAUGCUUGAGUGUGUGUAGGUGGGGGUGAAUCUGUUGGAACCAUUUUGUGCUAUAGAGUUCAGAAAUAACUGAUCAAGAAAUUUUGAAAACUAGAAACCUAAACAUUGGAAAGAAGAAAAGAUUUCAUGAAAAAAUGACUCUUUUAAUACUUAUGAAAUGUGAUCACUAAAAUCCUCAACACAUAACAGAACCAAGGAGGGGCAAAGAGGGAGAACAAUUAAUAGUAUGACAAAGUUAAUUAAGUAGUUGUAUUUUUUUCAGACCCCUGAUAGUAAUUAUAAAACAUAAACUGAAGAAGUUAUUGGUCUACAAAGAAAAACACUAGUUUAUGAAUGAAAACAUGCAAAUGCUUCUGAUGCUUUCUUCAGUUAUCUUUAGAGUCCAACCAGCUAUGUUUUCCUUUUUAAUUGAGAAUGUUAAAUCUCCCUCAAUAUUAUAUCAGGAACGUAUGCUAGUCACUUUCAGUAAUGGGGCAUCUUUUUAAAAAUGAAAUGAGGCAUCUUUGUGCAUCUAGUUGGAAAAUAAAAAUUGUGGAGAUAAAAGUUAUAUGUCUUAUGCAUAACAUAGUACUUUUCUUAUUAUUGUUGAGAUACGUAAUUUUAAUAUCUAUUAUUGCAGAGCUUUUUAAUGUUGUUCUAUUGAAUCCCUCUCCCCAAAACCUUGAGUUACAGUUUGUGUAGAUUUUAGCUCUUUGUGUAGAUUUUAGCUCUUUGUCCUAUCCUUCAAUCUGUUUGUGUAGAUUUUAGCUUCUAUUGUAAACAUAUCAGGUAAAAAUCCAAAGUUUCUUUGCAUUCGUAGUUUAAGAUUUCUUCUCCAUGCUAAAGUUUCAAUUGAAUAUUGUUGCCACUUAUAAUUAUAACAAAAAGAAAUAACAUAGGUUGUUUGACACCAACAAUCUUUAUAGGUACUGACUUUUGUCAAACGCUAAACCAUGAUUGCUUGACAGACAGCACGUGGCUAUGUUAAUGUAUCACCAUUUGAUGAAAUUUUCUUAAAAUUUUCUAAUAUAAAAUAAGUGAAUUUGAACAUAUGGAUCAGUUGAAGUCUAAGAAAUUCAUGUACUUAUCAAGCUUAAGUAGAACACUAGUUUUCAUUUGCUUACUGUUAUUUAUUAUACCAACAAGAUAAAAUAUCAUUUUUAGGAAUUAACCAUUAGAAAAUAGAAUCAUAGACUCUAGUGUUGUUUGCUUGAUGGUGAUCAAAUUAUUAGACUUGUUUGUGAUUGCUUCAUCAAGAUUGAAUCAUAAACUGCUUGCAAUUUUAAAGUAGAGAAAAGUAUCUGAGUUAAACAAGGUGUAUCAUUUGAUGAGAUGACCUGAAGGUGUUGGCAAUAAAUUUCUUCCAUCUACUUUUAAUAGCGUAUAUUGUAUUACUUGGAGUUGCUUAAGAUACUUGUUACAACAUCAAAAUUGUUUUUGUUGGUGCAUAUUAGUAUGAAGAAGUGUUUCUACCUCCUGUUGCUUUUUGUGUUCAACUGGGAGUAAGAUAUGAAAUUGCUGCCUUAUGAAGUUUGGUGUUUCUCAUUUGCCUAGAUAUUUUUUAAUUAUGAAGUUGCGGCUUUCUUUCUUAUGACACUUGCCCUCUAUAGUUAGUAUUGUUAAAAUCGAACUCAUUUUGAUAUUAUUUGGAUGGUAGUCCCUAGCUAUAUGCAUAUCUUUAGGCUUAUUAUUAAAUUGAUCAGAUCAAACUCUAUGUUAAGCUUCUGUAUAUUGCUUUCCUUUCCAUGUGAGUUCUUUUUUAAUUAAUUGCUAUAUAACCAAAUCUUAUAUAGCUUAGUAUUUUUUAAUGGUUUUGUAGGUGAAGAAAUGA